This 66-nucleotide transfer RNA is filed under the name Liocranchia reinhardtii. RNAcentral's name for it is "tRNA-Trp". The record is from RNAcentral. Lineage: Eukaryota; Metazoa; Mollusca; Cephalopoda; Oegopsida; Cranchiidae.
AAGAUUUUAAGUUAACUAAACUGAAGGUUUUCAAAACCUUUAAUAAAUAUUUUUGUUUAAAUCUUG